RNAcentral lists this ribosomal RNA (369 nucleotides) under uncultured bacterium. RNAcentral's name for it is "bacterial SSU rRNA". It matches the Rfam family "Bacterial small subunit ribosomal RNA", at positions 527 to 896 of the family's 1533-position model. The record is from RNAcentral.
GAACCGUGCGAACGUUGUUCGGAAUCACUGGGCUUAAAGGGCGCGUAGGCGGCUUACAAAGUCAGGGGUGAAAUCUUGCGGCUUAACCGUAAUCAGCCUCUGAUACUGGUAGGCUCGAGGGAGGUAGGGGUAUGUGGAACUUCUGGUGGAGCGGUGAAAUGCGUUGAUAUCAGAAGGAACGCCGGUGGCGAAAGCGACGUACUGGACCUCUUCUGACGCUGAGGCGCGAAAGCUAGGGGAGCAAACGGGAUUAGAUACCCCGGUAGUCCUAGCCCUAAACGAUGGGUACUAGAUUGUAGACUUGACAUGGGUUUACAGUCGAAGCAAAAGUGUUAAGUACCCCGCCUGGGGAGUAUGGUCGCAAGGCUG